RNAcentral lists this transfer RNA (73 nucleotides) under Roseibacillus persicicus. It matches the Rfam family "tRNA". Rfam says of the family: Transfer RNA (tRNA) molecules are approximately 80 nucleotides in length. Their secondary structure includes four short double-helical elements and three loops (D, anti-codon, and T loops). Further hydrogen bonds mediate the characteristic L-shaped molecular structure. tRNAs have two regions of fundamental functional importance: the anti-codon, which is responsible for specific mRNA codon recognition, and the 3' end, to which the tRNAs corresponding amino acid is attached (by aminoacyl-tRNA synthetases). tRNAs cope with the degeneracy of the genetic code in two manners: having more than one tRNA (with a specific anti-codon) for a particular amino acid; and 'wobble' base-pairing, i.e. permitting non-standard base-pairing at the 3rd anti-codon position. RNAcentral also lists the same sequence under 11 other names. Lineage: Bacteria; Pseudomonadati; Verrucomicrobiota; Verrucomicrobiia; Verrucomicrobiales; Verrucomicrobiaceae. The record is from Rfam by way of RNAcentral.
GGGGCAUUAGCUCAGUUGGUAGAGCACCUGCAUGGCAUGCAGGGGGUCAGCGGUUCGAAUCCGCUAUGCUCCA